Psammomys obesus (fat sand rat) is the source of this 694-nucleotide long non-coding RNA. RefSeq lists it as uncharacterized. The record is from RefSeq and is a predicted model, not a curated record. The transcript has 4 exons. Lineage: Eukaryota; Metazoa; Chordata; Mammalia; Rodentia; Muridae.
UUGGAUCCCCAGCAGAGGGCGCCAGCCCAACGUGUGCCCUCCGCGGAGGGUCGGGAGCCUCCCGCUGAGGGCUCCACAGCUGUAGGUGGCUGCCUUAUCAUCUCCGAGACUCACAGGAUUUGCAGGCGUUCCCAAAGCCACACGGAAAAGCCGGGAGUCAGAGUCCCGUGUCAGAAGCCGCUCUGCCCCUUCCGACUGGCUGUGUGGUUUUAACCUUUCAACGACCCUUUUCUACACCGCGCUCUGAUGCUGACGUGUGACCAUUAGCACGUCUGUGGAAACUCAAGGCCUGUUUCUGCUUCCCGGACGGCAGGACCAUGUGACUCUGCUCUGCCUCCCAUAGGGUUGGCACACCAGGUAAAUGUCUGUGAGGCACCGAAGCUGACAGCUGUCACAACAGGAAGAAUGACACAUGCUUGCUACCUGCUUCCCUGCCUUCUGGGUGGAGACAAAGCAUUUUGAGAAGGGUCAUGAGCUAGAGACUGAGAGACUGGCCAGAGACUGAUAAGGGCAUGAGGCUUGGAGGACAUGAGGCUGGAAUCCUCAGCACCUGUGCCAAAACCUGGGCGUGGUGAAGAAGGAGGUAACCUCCGAGGAAGGACUGAAACAUUGUGGCGUUUACACAAAGGCCAAAGUGGGCAAGCCAUUUUCAUUUGCUUUGAAAAUCUGGAUUUAUAAAUUUUUUUAAAAUUUG